GUCUACAGCCAGGCCACCCUGAACAAGCCCGAUCCUGUCUGAUCUUGGAAGCUAAGCAGGGUUGGACUUGGUUAGUACUUGGAUGGAAGACCAAGUACUUACUUUAUGCUGUAGGCA
RNAcentral lists this ribosomal RNA (117 nucleotides) under Pteropus alecto (black flying fox). Lineage: Eukaryota; Metazoa; Chordata; Mammalia; Chiroptera; Pteropodidae. The record is from RNAcentral.